RNAcentral lists this ribosomal RNA (255 nucleotides) under uncultured bacterium. RNAcentral's name for it is "partial 16S ribosomal RNA". It matches the Rfam family "Bacterial small subunit ribosomal RNA", at positions 524 to 776 of the family's 1533-position model. The record is from RNAcentral.
UACGUAGGGUGCAAGCGUUGUCCGGAAUUAUUGGGCGUAAAGGGCUCGUAGGCGGUCCAUCGCGUCGGGAGUGAAAAGCUGGGGCUUAACCCCAGUCCUGCUUCCGAUACGGGUGGACUAGAGGUAGGUAGGGGAGAACGGAAUUCCUGGUGUAGCGGUGAAAUGACGCAGAUAAUCAGGAGGAACACCGGUGGCGAAGGCGGUUCUCUGGGCCGAUACUGACACUGAGGAGCGAAAGCGUGGGGAGCGAACAGG